CUUUUUGAUCUAGCCUAAGGUACCACGUAUACUUCAAGUUUAUCUCAACUAUGGAUCUCUCAGACCCAAUGGUACUUAUUAUUUGCUCAAAUAAGUUCAUAGAUGCAUCAUCAUUCAAAUGAUAGAGAUUAUCUCUAAGAACUAAAUCCAAAUGGUAGUCACGAAGGUUAGGUGCCCAUGGCCAUAGCAGCAACUCUUG
Molecule: long non-coding RNA, 199 nt
Filed under: Elaeis guineensis (African oil palm)
Lineage: Eukaryota; Viridiplantae; Streptophyta; Magnoliopsida; Arecales; Arecaceae
Description: long non-coding RNA (EGUI_LNC034588)
Source: RNAcentral